Molecule: ribosomal RNA, 37 nt
Filed under: Protoparmelia montagnei
Lineage: Eukaryota; Fungi; Ascomycota; Lecanoromycetes; Lecanorales; Parmeliaceae
Description: partial 28S ribosomal RNA
Source: RNAcentral
UUGACCUCGGAUCAUGCAGGAUACCCGCCGAACUUAA